UGGUUUCGCCUUGAAACAGACAAAGUCUGAAUUUUCCCUGUUCGUUGACGAAUCUAAAUUCUAAAGAAUGCUACUCAUCAAAUUAUUCUGCUGAAACUUGAGAGAGGGAGGAGAAGUAGCUGCAAAGGAGUCUUGUGGAAGUUGCCCGAGCAAGCAGGAGGGCUGGGACCGGCCCAGGUAGGAGGGCCGGGCUCUGCCAGGCCUGAGGGCAGCCUUUGGCUCUGCCGUGCUGUGAGCCGUGGGUCCGUGAGGGGGACACUGAGGUGUCUGAGGUAGGUUCUCUUGCCGGGGAAGCAGGGACAAUGAUGCUGUCUGUGCGAGGUGGCAGAGACGUGGACUGAGAAGGCAGAGUGGCUGGUGUCACAGCACUUAACAGUUGAGAGCAACUCUUCUUAGACUCUGAGGUCUAACAGGACCUCCACCGUGCCCGCGAGAAGCAGCGCUGGCGGCUCUCAGCCCUCUCGCAGGCAGAUGGGGUCAACAUGACCCGUUCCCUCCAGAAAAUCCUUGCAGGAGGCACGGAGGCUGGCAGGCCCCUGUGCCCUGCACUGCUGCCCCCUCCCUCCAGUGUCCCAGAGGAUGCUGCUCUAGGAAGCAAUGGAGACAGAGCAGACGCAGAGUGAGACCCUGCACCCCACCCCUGUCUGAGAGCAGAGCGUCAGCCCCCUGGUGGGGGUGUCCCCGCUUUCUGUACCAGGACGAGAACAACCUCACCACUGGGGCCGGGGCACCGAGAGCGAGUCCACCCAGCAAACUGGCCGGCUGGGCCUCAUCGCCCGUCAGCUCCCUGCAGAUUCACCUUCCUCCACCCGCCGCCCUGGAAAUGCACAGCCCUUUCCUGUGUCCUGUCCCUUCUCUACAGUCCUGCUUUUCUGUUCGAACGCUGAGGAAGAUCCCGUCCUAACCCCCUGGAGUUCGCAUCACCGAGUUCUCCCGUGCGGCUGCACCGUGCACAGAUGGAUAAACUUCUGUGAGUUCUCUUCUUGCUAACCCAUCCAUUGUCAUUCUAAUUUGCGGGCCCCCGACAGCAAAUCUAGGAGGUAGAAGGAAAAAGAGGUUAUUGCUCCCCUAGA
Vicugna pacos (alpaca) is the source of this 1073-nucleotide non-coding RNA. The record is from RefSeq and is a predicted model, not a curated record. Lineage: Eukaryota; Metazoa; Chordata; Mammalia; Artiodactyla; Camelidae.